This 449-nucleotide ribosomal RNA is filed under the name uncultured organism. RNAcentral describes it as "partial 16S ribosomal RNA". It matches the Rfam family "Bacterial small subunit ribosomal RNA", at positions 331 to 797 of the family's 1533-position model. The record is from RNAcentral.
GUACACUCCUGCGGGAGGCAGCAGUGGGGAAUAUUGGACAAUGGGCGCAAGCCUGAUCCAGCCAUGCCGCGUGAGUGAUGAAGGCCCUAGGGUUGUAAAGCUCUUUCACCGGUGAAGAUAAUGACGGUAACCGGAGAAGAAGCCCCGGCUAACUUCGUGCCAGCAGCCGCGGUAAUACGAAGGGGGCUAGCGUUGUUCGGAUUUACUGGGCGUAAAGCGCACGUAGGCGGACUAUUAAGUCAGGGGUGAAAUCCCGGGGCUCAACCCCGGAACUGCCUUUGAUACUGGUAGUCUUGAGUUCGAGAGAGGUGAGUGGAAUUCCGAGUGGAGAGGUGAAAUUCGUAGAUAUUCGGAGGAACACCAGUGGCGAAGGCGGCUCACUGGCUCGAUACUGACGCUGAGGUGCGAAAGCGUGGGGAGCAAACAGGAUUAGAAACCCCAGUAGUCCC